UCUCACUCCAACUUCUAAAGUUCUUUCAAUUGUUUACCUGGUAAGUAUUCUUGUGUGGUAUUGGCCCUCUUCCCUUAUGAAUUUUUACUCUUUUUUUUUUCAUUAUUGUGUUUAUGCUUCCUAUUAUUCUACUGAUUUUUCUUAUUUAUAGGUCUUCCACAAUUUUUCUUGAAUUCUUUUGAGUUCUUAUAGAUGCCUCUUGAAAUACAUGCAUAAUUUUGUUUUCAAUAUUUUGCAGUUUCUAACUCUAAAAUACUAAAAAUAUUAGUAGUAUUUUCUUAUCAAUAUAUGAUACUUUUUGCAGAUAAUUAAUGGCUUGAUGCGGUUGCAUGUUUGACGAAAUUUCCCGUGAAGGUAAGACUUGUGUGUUAUGAAGAGAGAUUAGUUACAAGAGUUGAUUGUUUUGGCAGAUGAUUCAAGGUGCUAAUGAAGUUGAACGGUGGGCUUAGGUGAAUAGACAUUUUCCCUUAUAAUAUCUUUUUUCCAUAUGGCAUCUUCCCCAAAAAAAAUUGAGAAAGAAUUUGAGUUGCCGAAUUCUUUGAUGCUGCCAUGAAAUUAGAAGUGAUAAUGUAAUGCUGAAAAUUCAGG
RNAcentral lists this long non-coding RNA (588 nucleotides) under Solanum tuberosum (potato). Its description in RNAcentral is "long non-coding RNA (STUB_LNC003602)". The record is from RNAcentral. Lineage: Eukaryota; Viridiplantae; Streptophyta; Magnoliopsida; Solanales; Solanaceae.